Molecule: ribosomal RNA, 468 nt
Filed under: uncultured bacterium
Lineage: Bacteria
Description: partial 16S ribosomal RNA
Rfam family: Bacterial small subunit ribosomal RNA
Source: RNAcentral
GACGAACGCUGGCGGCGUGCUUAACACAUGCAAGUCGAACGGAAAGGCCCUGCUUUUGUGGGGUGCUCGAGUGGCGAACGGGUGAGUAACACAUGAGUAACCUGCCCUUGACUUUGGGAUAACUUCAGGAAACUGGGGCUAAUACCGGAUAGGAGCUCCUGCUGCAUGGUGGGGGUUGGAAAGUUUCGGCGGUUGGGGAUGGACUCGCGGCUUAUCAGCUUGUUGGUGGGGUAGUGGCUUACCAAGGCUUUGACGGGUAGCCGGCCUGAGAGGGUGACCGGCCACAGUGGGACAGAGCUCCGGCCAAGACUCCUGGGGGGGCCAGGGGGGGGAAUUGGUGCAGAGUGGGCGGAGGCCGGAAGCAGCAGCCCCGCGUGGGGGAUCGCGGCUUUCGGUUUGUAACCCGCUUCCGCCUGGAAAGAGGGGGGAGGGACGGUAAUGGAUAAAAAAGCCCCGGCUAACUACGUG